UACGAAGGGGGCUAGCGUUGCUCGGAAUGACUGGGCGUAAAGGGCGCGUAGGCGGAUCACGCAGUCAGAUGUGAAAUUCCUGGGCUUAACCUGGGGGCUGCAUUUGAGACGCGUGGUCUAGAGUGUGAAAGAGGGUCGUGGAAUUCCCAGUGUAGAGGUGAAAUUCGUAGAUAUUGGGAAGAACACCGGUGGCGAAGGCGGCGACCUGGUUCACAACUGACGCUGAGGCGCGAAAGCGUGGGGAGCAAACAGGAUUAGAUACCCGCGUAGUCC
RNAcentral lists this ribosomal RNA (273 nucleotides) under uncultured bacterium. RNAcentral's name for it is "partial 16S ribosomal RNA". It matches the Rfam family "Bacterial small subunit ribosomal RNA", at positions 524 to 796 of the family's 1533-position model. The record is from RNAcentral.